RNAcentral lists this ribosomal RNA (490 nucleotides) under Craspedostauros australis. RNAcentral's name for it is "partial Bacterial large subunit ribosomal RNA". It matches the Rfam family "Bacterial large subunit ribosomal RNA", at positions 481 to 971 of the family's 2925-position model. Lineage: Eukaryota; Bacillariophyta; Bacillariophyceae; Mastogloiales; Achnanthaceae. The record is from RNAcentral.
UGACCGAUAAUGAACCAGUACCGUGAGGGAAAGGUGAAAAGAACCCCGGGAGGGGAGUGAAAAGAACAUGAAACCAUAAACUUACAACCAGUAGGAGGACGACUUAAACGUCUGACUGCGUGCCUGUUGAAGAAUGAGCCGGCGACUUAUAGGUAGUGGCAGGUUAAGGCAGAGAAUGCCGGAGCCAUAGUGAAAGCGAGCCUGAAUAGGGCAUAUGUCACUGGUUAUAGACCCGAACCCGGAUGAUCUAACCAUGGUCAGGUUGAAGCUUAGGUAAUACUAAGUGGAGGACCGAACCGACUGAUGUUGAAAAAUCAGCGGAUGAACUGUGGUUAGGGGUGAAAUGCCAAUCGAAUUCGGAGCUAGCUGGUUCUCCCCGAAAUGCGUUUUGGCGCAGCGAUAAAUGUUAUAACUUAGGGGUAAAGCACUGUUACGUAUGCGGGCUGGUAAUUCGGUACCAAAUCGUUGCAAACUAAGAAUACUAAGUGUA